AUGAAGUAAAGACCACAGACUUUAGGAAAGCUUAAGUGAUAUUGAUGGAGAAUUUAGACUAAGAUAUAUCCUGGUUCAUGUGACAUUCAGGUCUCAGUCAGAUGUCAUCUCUCCACAAUAAUGGGGUUAUUCCUAACUAUCAUUCUAGAGAAUUCUCCCCUCAUUACUCUUUACUGCAGCAUGGUUUUCAAACUUCAGCAUGCACCAGAUUGCUGGGUCCCACCCCUAAGUAUCUGAUGCAAAAAGAGUUGCAUGAGGCCUGGGAAUUUGCUUUUCUACAUGUUCCCACAUGAUGCUCCUUCUGUGGAUUCAGGGUCCACUGCUCUAUUUCUUCACCCUGCUUUAUUUUUAUUACAGAAUUUAUCUUAAAUUGUUCUCAUAUUUACUUAUUUUACUAUUGUCUUUUUACCACAAGAAAUUGGUUGUGAGACCAAGAAUUUAGUAAGCUAUAGUCACUACUGUGUGUCUAGGAUGUGAAAUGUGCCUAACUUAUAAUAGGUAUUCAAUAAAUACUUAUUGAUUUAACAAAUAAAUACAGGACUGGGAAAUUCAGUAGGUGAGUAGUAACUAGAUGGUGGUAAUUGGGGUGGGGUUGGGCCACAGAAACACUUGUACCUGUGCCCAGAUAGGAGGUAUUACUGGUCAAAUUUGCUUCUAGACAAAUAAAAUGCAAAGUUGCAAAUCUUAUGGGCAGGGAGCACUAAUCGUGAAACAUGAUGUUAGGAAACCAACUGGAUAAUUCAAAUAAUGGGGAUUGAGGGGGUUCAUAAUUUCCUUCCAGGCUUAGGCACUUGACCAGCCAAACAAUUGUCUCUUGUGCAUGUUUGGAUUCUGGAGACUCAAGAUCUUUUCACAUG
RNAcentral lists this long non-coding RNA (857 nucleotides) under Marmota monax (woodchuck). Lineage: Eukaryota; Metazoa; Chordata; Mammalia; Rodentia; Sciuridae. The record is from RNAcentral.